UGACUUAAGAGGAAGUCGCCUCUAAUAAU
This 29-nucleotide small RNA is filed under the name Bombyx mori (domestic silkworm). RNAcentral's name for it is "ovarian small RNA-32034". Lineage: Eukaryota; Metazoa; Arthropoda; Insecta; Lepidoptera; Bombycidae. The record is from RNAcentral.